Molecule: RNA transcript, 262 nt
Organism: Eucalyptus grandis
Lineage: Eukaryota; Viridiplantae; Streptophyta; Magnoliopsida; Myrtales; Myrtaceae
Exons: 3
Source: RefSeq, a predicted model, not a curated record
GCAGGACGCACUAUUCUUUGUCGAGAUAUAUGGCCAAUUUCAUCAGCAUUUCGUAAAUUUGGUUGUUUUGAUUGGUGUUGACCACUAUUAAUUGUUCCAGUUCGCAUCUCAGUCAAACGUUAUCUUCAGCUCACACCAGAAUCACUGCACAAUCAGAAAAUCCGCAUGGCAAACUUUAGCACUGUUGGUGAAGCCACGCUUGGAAAUAUACAAGCAAAAUGCUCAGGCUAUUUUAUCGACUUACUUGAGCGUAAUAAAUAAG